CACUUCUUGGUGGAGUAGAAAUCAGUUGAGAACCCAUUCCUUGUGAAAGCUUGGUGCACUGCCAGUGAAUCAUUUUGAGAGUCUACUCAUUGACAAGUUUCAUGUUGGGAAGUAUAAAUACUCUGUUUCAGAUUUCUCAGAGGAGAGUCAUUUUGUAGGCCUUUCUGAAGAUUGAAUCCCUGCCUCCACAAAACAAGUCAUGUUAAGUAAGGCAGCAGCAUUUAGGAGCCUAAUGAAUGUGCAUACACAAGCAUGAAGACACACUUGUAAGCUGGCACUGAUACAGGAUAAAAAAAACAUCACAUCCUGGAACAGAGAGACCAUGGCCCAGUGGUUGGAUCAUAGAAAAACACAAAGUAAAGAAAUCUAAAACUAAUCUCGAGGAACCCUUCUAGCUCCUUGGUGGAUUUGCAUUCCUUUCUCUGAUACUAGCAAGUUCAACUGUACCUCUGUCAUCUUGCAUUUGGAGGCCUGGAAGGACUGACAGAAAGUCUCUGUAAAAGAUGACAGUUUGCAUUCUCAACAAAGGAUCACAGACCAAAUCCAGUUCUGGCGUAGUUGUUCUCAAGCCAGUGAAGUUACUACAGGGAUGAAUUUGACCCAUUUAAAGCUUUUC
This 616-nucleotide long non-coding RNA is filed under the name Coturnix japonica (Japanese quail). RNAcentral describes it as "lncRNA (ENSCJPG00005019468.1)". Lineage: Eukaryota; Metazoa; Chordata; Aves; Galliformes; Phasianidae. The record is from RNAcentral.